Molecule: non-coding RNA, 886 nt
Organism: Camelina sativa (false flax)
Lineage: Eukaryota; Viridiplantae; Streptophyta; Magnoliopsida; Brassicales; Brassicaceae
Source: RefSeq, a predicted model, not a curated record
UCUGUGUUCGUGUUUUCCAACCAAGACGAUGAUUUAUUGACUCAAGGAUGAAGUAAAUUCAAAACAAAAACGGCGCCGGCAUUCUUACAUUAACACCAUCAAACAAACUGAUUAAAAGGUGUGUGUUCGUGGUGCAACCAGGACGCUUUCUUAUUUGACUCAGAUCUUUUGAAGGAUGAAGUAGAUUCAUUACAUAAAACAGUCGCCGCCGUUCUUACAGUAACAACAUCAAACUUAUUUUAAAAGGAGUUGAUUUUAGCUUCUGGGAGAUGCCCAUUGAAAGAGCUGCUUUGGGAGUUCCCACGAGGCUUAUGUUACCCACGAGAUUGACAGAAUAGCUCCUUCAUUCAGCACGUACUGGAGAUGCGAACCACGAGGUAAAAUAGGAAUGAUGGCAUCAGAAGUAGAUACAGCAUUUUGACAAGGUUUGAUAGUCAGGAAUGUACGGAUACAUUCUACCAACAUUUUAAAGGGAAACAAUUCAAUUCUCUGGAGGCAUUAUUUUCUUUUGAGUCAACCUAUGUCAGAUGUAUAUUUACGUUGAAUAUGAAACCAACUGUAUCUUUGUGAUUGUUCAGCUGCUGCCAACUCUAUGCUGGAAGAUGCAUGUAUGUCGUCGACUGCGUUUUACUCUAGAUGUUCAGUUUACCUGUUAGAGUGGAUCUGUUGACCAUGCACACCCUUCUGCUGCUGGCCCGAUAGAGAAACCUACUGGUUCAGUUUGUCUUGGUAAAGUCUUAACCUUAAUUAUUCAAAUUUAUGCAGAAAUAUGGCUUAGUCUAGCUCUAGAAAAAGUGUAAAUCUAGACAUUGGUACUAAAAUUGACAUAUCUGGUGUCAUGUAUUGGCUACGUUUGGUUUGGGUAUAUUCUAAACCUUGUGAACCA